AGUGAACGCUGGCGGUAGGCCUAACACAUGCAAGACGAACGGCAGCACAGUAAGAGCUUGCUCUUACGGGUGGCGAGUGGCGGACGGGUGAGGAAUACAUCGGAAUCUACUUUUUCGUGGGGGAUAACGUAGGGAAACUUACGCUAAUACCGCAUACGACCUACGGGUGAAAGCAGGGGAUCUUCGGACCUUGCGCGAUUGAAUGAGCCGAUGUCGGAUUAGCUAGUUGGCGGGGUAAAGGCCCACCAAGGCGACGAUCCGUAGCUGGUCUGAGAGGAUGAUCAGCCACACUGGAACUGAGACACGGUCCAGACUCCUACGGGAGGCAGCAGUGGGGAAUAUUGGGCAAUGGGCGCAAGCCUGAUCCAGCCAUACCGCGUGGGUGAAGAAGGCCUUCGGGUUGUAAAGCCCUUUUGUUGGGAAAGAAAAGCAGCAGGUUAAUACCCCGCUGUUCUGACGGUACCCAAAGAAUAAGCACCGGCUAACUUCGUG
RNAcentral lists this ribosomal RNA (492 nucleotides) under uncultured bacterium. Its description in RNAcentral is "partial 16S ribosomal RNA". It matches the Rfam family "Bacterial small subunit ribosomal RNA", at positions 29 to 507 of the family's 1533-position model. The record is from RNAcentral.